GCUUAACACAUGCAAGUCGAGCGAAGCAGUUAAGUUGACUUCUUCGGAUUGAUUCUUAACUGACUGAGCGGCGGACGGGUGAGUAACGCGUGGGUGACCUGCCCCAUACCGGGGGAUAACAGCUGGAAACGGCUGCUAAUACCGCAUAAGCGCACAGAGCUGCAUGGCUCGGUGUGAAAAACUCCGGUGGUAUGGGAUGGGCCCGCGUCUGAUUAGGCAGUUGGCGGGUAACGGCCCACCAAACCGACGAUCAGUAGCCGGCCUGAGAGGGCGACCGGCCACAUUGGGACUGAGACACGGCCCAAACUCCUACGGGAGGCAGCAGUGGGGAAUAUUGCACAAUGGGGGAAACCCUGAUGCAGCGACGCCGCGUGAGCGAAGAAGUAUUUCGGUAUGUAAAGCUCUAUCAGCAGGGAAGAUAAUGACGGUACCUGACUAAGAAGCCCCGGCUAACUACGUGCCAGCAGCCGCGGUAAUACGUACGGGGCAAGCGUUAUCCGGAUUUACUGGGUGUAAAGGGAGCGUAGACGGCAAGGCAAGUCUGAUGUGAAAACCCAGGGCUUAACCCUGGGACUGCAUUGGAAACUGUCUGGCUCGAGUGCCGGAGAGGUAAGCGGAAUUC
Molecule: ribosomal RNA, 622 nt
Filed under: uncultured Lachnospiraceae bacterium
Lineage: Bacteria; Bacillati; Bacillota; Clostridia; Lachnospirales; Lachnospiraceae
Description: bacterial SSU rRNA
Rfam family: Bacterial small subunit ribosomal RNA
Source: RNAcentral